Molecule: ribosomal RNA, 399 nt
Filed under: Ramogenia challengeri
Lineage: Eukaryota; Metazoa; Mollusca; Gastropoda; Stylommatophora; Camaenidae
Description: partial 16S ribosomal RNA
Rfam family: Bacterial large subunit ribosomal RNA
Source: RNAcentral
CAAAAACAUAGCCAUGUGUCAUAUACGUGGUGAUUUCUGCUCCAUGAGACAUUAAAUAGCCGCAGUACCCUGACUGUGCAAAGGUAGCGUAAUCAUUUGUCUUUUAAUUGAAGUCUUGUAUGAAAGAAUAUAUGGGGGUUUUCUUUACCAUUGGUGCAAUUAGAAAUUACUAAGCGAGUGAAAAGACUCGCAAGGAUAUAUUAGACGAGAAGACCCUAGAAAUUUUUAAAAUAAUUUUGUUGGGGCAACAUAGUAACGGAAUUUACAAUAUGUAUAUGAAAUUAGUUGGAUAAAUAAAAUUACUCUAGGGAUAACAGCAUAAUCAAAAACUGUUUGUGACCUCGAUGUUGGAUUAGGAAGCUGUAACUCAAAAGGUGUUCAGUAGUGCUCUGUUCGAGC